Molecule: small RNA, 28 nt
Filed under: Bombyx mori (domestic silkworm)
Lineage: Eukaryota; Metazoa; Arthropoda; Insecta; Lepidoptera; Bombycidae
Description: ovarian small RNA-22928
Source: RNAcentral
UAGUAUAAAAGUUGCCCUUACAAGUCUA